CCCGUGGACUGCAGCCCGCCAGGCUUCUCUGUCCAUGGGAUUCUCCACGCAAGAAUACUGGGAUGGGUUGCCGAGUCCUCCUCCAGGGAUCUUCCCGACCCAGGGAUGGAGACCACGCCUCUUAGUCUCCUGCAUCGGCAGACCCCCCGGCCGGAAGCUCCUUCUGUGAUGUGAAGGCCACCAGGGUACACGAGGGCAGGCCGACCACCAGUCCUCUGCGGGCACCAGGUCUACAGACAACCCGCGUCCACAGCAAGUCACAGGGCUGAGCCCCAAGACAGGGCCAGGAAGGGCCCGCCCCAUGGAAGAGGCGGGCAGGCGUUCCUGGACAACUGACUCACCUCUGUCUCUUCCGGCAAUCCCAAGUUCCCAAGGUCGCUGCCCUGAGCCACAUCCUGGACCCGCCACGCACUCGUUUCUCUGUAGACCCAGGAGAUCUAUGAAUGGCCAAGAAGCUAAUGAAAGCAUGCUCGACUCCUGGGAACAAACCCAGAGGGUAGAAAACAAGGUCUCAGACAGAUACCCGUGCACAGACAGCCACCGCAGCUCGACUCACGCCACCCAGAGUGGAAAGCAGCCGCACCGCCACAGUGCACGAGCUGGACGAGCACACUGCUUCAUCCAUACAAUGGAACGUUAUUCGGUCACGGAAAGCGAUGCCCAACACGCGUGAACACACACCAGGAGAAAGAAGCCACAGGCCGUGUCUCGUAUGAUUCCAGAACAGGCAGAUCCACAGCCAGAGAGAGCAAACUGGUGG
Long non-coding RNA from Bos taurus (domestic cattle), 760 nucleotides. NCBI's taxonomy places the organism in Eukaryota, Metazoa, Chordata, Mammalia, Artiodactyla, Bovidae. The record is from Ensembl.